RNAcentral lists this long non-coding RNA (322 nucleotides) under Lathyrus oleraceus (garden pea). RNAcentral's name for it is "Pisum sativum (pea) long non-coding RNA (PSAT_LNC034955)". Lineage: Eukaryota; Viridiplantae; Streptophyta; Magnoliopsida; Fabales; Fabaceae. The record is from RNAcentral.
CUGUUAUCUCUUCUCUCACUAUCUUUUUCCAUCCAGGGUAAUAGGAAUAGAAUGGCCUUUUGUUUCACUGAAACUCUGAAUUUAUAACCUGAUUUUUGUGGACCAGUGGGCUCAAAUGAGAGAGGUCAAAGUCCAAGAUUUUUCUUUCUUUUAUUUAUUUAUUUAUUUUCGUUUUUUUUUCUUCGUUUUUUUUUCAAAACACGUGGGCUUCGUCUAGCGAACAUGACAGCUCAUGAACAAACCUUUGCUCCUUCAAGAUUAACAUUUUGACUGACGAAUAGACCCCUGUUGGAAGUAACUCAAGUCUUUCCCUUGUGUUGAC